Molecule: ribosomal RNA, 1346 nt
Filed under: uncultured bacterium
Lineage: Bacteria
Description: partial 16S ribosomal RNA
Rfam family: Bacterial small subunit ribosomal RNA
Source: RNAcentral
GACGAACGCUGGCGGCGUGCUUAACACAUGCAAGUCGAACGGAAAGGCCCUGCUUUUGUGGGGUGCUCGAGUGGCGAACGGGUGAGUAACACGUGAGUAACCUGCCCUUGACUUUGGGAUAACUUCAGGAAACUGGGGCUAAUACCGGAUAGGAGCUCCUGCCGCAUGGUGGGGAUUGGAAAGUUUCGGCGGUUGGGGAUGGACUCGCGGCUUAUCAGCUUGUUGGUGGGGUAGUGGCUUACCAAGGCUUUGACGGGUAGCCGGCCUGAGAGGGUGACCGGCCACAUUGGGACUGAGAUACGGCCCAGACUCCUACGGGAGGCAGCAGUGGGGAAUAUUGCACAAUGGGCGGAAGCCUGAUGCAGCAACGCCGCGUGCGGGAUGACGGCCUUCGGGUUGUAAACCGCUUUCGCCUGUGACGAAGCGUGAGUGACGGUAAUGGGUAAAGAAGCACCGGCUAACUACGUGCCAGCAGCCGCGGUGAUACGUAGGGUGCGAGCGUUGUCCGGAUUUAUUGGGCGUAAAGGGCUCGUAGGUGGUUGAUCGCGUCGGAAGUGUAAUCUUGGGGCUUAACCCUGAGCGUGCUUUCGAUACGGGUUGACUUGAGGAAGGUAGGGGAGAAUGGAAUUCCUGGUGGAGCGGUGGAAUGCGCAGAUAUCAGGAGGAACACCAGUGGCGAAGGCGGUUCUCUGGGCCUUUCCUGACGCUGAGGAGCGAAAGCGUGGGGAGCGAACAGGCUUAGAUACCCUGGUAGUCCACGCUGUAAACGGUGGGUACUAGGUGUGGGGUCCAUUCCACGGGUUCCGUGCCGUAGCUAACGCUUUAAGUACCCCGCCUGGGGAGUACGGCCGCAAGGCUAAAACUCAAAGGAAUUGACGGGGCCCCGCACAAGCGGCGGAGCAUGCGGAUUAAUUCGAUGCAACGCGUAGAACCUUACCUGGGUUUGACAUGGAUCGGGAGUGCUCAGAGAUGGGUGUGCCUCUUUUGGGGUCGGUUCACAGGUGGUGCAUGGCUGUCGUCAGCUCGUGUCGUGAGAUGUUGGGUUAAGUCCCGCAACGAGCGCAACCCUUGUUCACUGUUGCCAGCACGUUAUGGUGGGGACUCAGUGGAGACCGCCGGGGUCAACUCGGAGGAAGGUGGGGAUGACGUCAAGUCAUCAUGCCCCUUAUGUCCAGGGCUUCACGCAUGCUACAAUGGCUGGUACAGAGAGUGGCGAGCCUGUGAGGGUGAGCGAAUCUCGGAAAGCCGGUCUCAGUUCGGAUUGGGGUCUGCAACUCGACCUCAUGAAGUCGGAGUCGCUAGUAAUCGCAGAUCAGCAACGCUGCGGUGAAUACGUUCCCGGGGCU